UGGGGAAUUUUGGACAAUGGGCGAAAGCCUGAUCCAGCAAUGCCGCGUGUGUGAAGAAGGCCUUCGGGUUGUAAAGCACUUUUGUCCGGAAAGAAAUCCUUGGCUCUAAUACAGUCGGGGGAUGACGGUACCGGAAGAAUAAGCACCGGCUAACUACGUGCCAGCAGCCGCGGUAAUACGUAGGGUGCAAGCGUUAAUCGGAAUUACUGGGCGUAAAGCGUGCGCAGGCGGUUUGCUAAGACCGAUGUGAAAUCCCCGGGCUCAACCUGGGAACUGCAUUGGUGACUGGCAGGCUAGAGUAUGGCAGAGGGGGUAGAAUUCCACGUGUAGCAGUGAAAUGCGUAGAGAUGUGGAGGAAUACCGAUGGCGAAGGCAGCCCCCUGGGCCAAUACUGACGCUCAUGCACGAAAGCGUGGGGAGCAAACAGGAUUAGAUACCCUGGUAGUCCACGCCCUAAACGAUGUCAACUAGUUG
RNAcentral lists this ribosomal RNA (474 nucleotides) under uncultured bacterium. RNAcentral describes it as "partial 16S ribosomal RNA". It matches the Rfam family "Bacterial small subunit ribosomal RNA", at positions 355 to 822 of the family's 1533-position model. The record is from RNAcentral.